AGCAGCCGCGGUAAUUCCAGCUCCAAUAGCGUAUAUUAAAGUUGUUGCAGUUAAAAAGCUCGUAGUUGAAUUUCGGGAUCAGCAGGUUGGUCGUGCCUCUGGUAUGCACUGGUUUCGCUGAUUCCUCCUUUCUGAAGAACUGUAAUGUCAUUAAUUUGGUGUUGCAGGGAAACAGGACUGUUACUUUGAAAAAUUAGAGUGUUUAAAGCAGGCUAACGCUUGAAUACAUUAGCAUGGAAUAAUGAAAUAGGACGUUUGAUCCUAUUUUGUUGGUUUCUAGGAUUGACGUAAUGAUUAAUAGGGAUAGUUGGGGGCAUUAGUAUUCAAUUGUCAGAGGUGAAAUUCUUGGAUUUAUUGAAGACUAACUACUGCGAAAGCAUUUGCCAAGGAUGUUUUCAUUAAUCAAGAACGAAAGUUAGGGGAUCGAAGACGAUCAGAUACCGUCGUAGU
This 450-nucleotide ribosomal RNA is filed under the name uncultured Glomus. RNAcentral's name for it is "SSU rRNA". It matches the Rfam family "Eukaryotic small subunit ribosomal RNA", at positions 569 to 1024 of the family's 1831-position model. Lineage: Eukaryota; Fungi; Glomeromycota; Glomeromycetes; Glomerales; Glomeraceae. The record is from RNAcentral.